RNAcentral lists this long non-coding RNA (200 nucleotides) under Hordeum vulgare. RNAcentral describes it as "long non-coding RNA (HVUL_LNC017670)". Lineage: Eukaryota; Viridiplantae; Streptophyta; Magnoliopsida; Poales; Poaceae. The record is from RNAcentral.
UAUAGUCCUCAGCUUAGCGCUCCUCGUCUCAAUUCUCUCGUGGUCUUCGAAAUCGAGCCUCUCCAACACAUAUCUUCUUGCAUGGCAAGGGAGGUACAUAUCCCCGUUCUCGUCAAGCUUCAUGCUGAAGAACCGAUCAUCUCGUAGGUGAGGCAUGUCGCACAUACCCCGAGAGUCGCCGCAAUAUUCACACUCGCAAU